GAUGAAGAACGCAGCGAAAUGCGAUAAGUAGUGUGAAUUGCAGAAUUCAGUGAAUCAUCGAAUCUUUGAACGCACAUUGCGCCCCUUGGUAUUCCAUGGGGCAUGCCUGUUCGAGCGUCAUUUGUACCUUCAAGCCUUGCUUGGUGUUGGGUAUUUGUCUCGCCUCUGCGCGCAGACUCGCCUCAAAACAAUUGGCAGCCGGCGUAUUGAUUUCGGAGCGCAGUACAUCUCGCGCUUUGCACUCAGAACGACGACGUCCAAAAGUACAUUUUUACACUCUUGACCUCGGAUCAGGUAGGGAUACCCGCUGAACUUAAGCAUAUCAAUAAGCGGAGGA
RNAcentral lists this unclassified non-coding RNA (337 nucleotides) under soil metagenome. Its description in RNAcentral is "partial contains 5.8S ribosomal RNA, internal transcribed spacer 2, and large subunit ribosomal RNA". The stretch from base 1 to 120 matches the Rfam family "5.8S ribosomal RNA", at positions 35 to 154 of the family's 154-position model. The record is from RNAcentral.